UCCAACGCGGGGCUAGCAGCGGCGGUAAUACGGAGGGGCCAAGCGUUAUCCGGAAGUAUUGGGUGUAAAGGGUCCGGAGGCGGUCUUAUAAGUCAGUGGUGAAAGCCCAUCGCUCAACGAUGGAACUGCCAUUGAUACUGUAAGACUUGAAUGCUUAGGAAGUAACUAGAAUAUGUAGUGUAGCGGUGAAAUGCUUAGAUAUUACAUGGAAUACCAAUUGCGAAGGCAGGUUACUACUAAGUGAUUGACGCUGAUGGACGAAAGCGUGGGGAGCGAACAGGAUUAGAUACCCCAGUAGUC
This 300-nucleotide ribosomal RNA is filed under the name uncultured Methanosaeta sp. RNAcentral describes it as "bacterial SSU rRNA". It matches the Rfam family "Bacterial small subunit ribosomal RNA", at positions 496 to 795 of the family's 1533-position model. The record is from RNAcentral. Lineage: Archaea; Methanobacteriati; Methanobacteriota; Methanomicrobia; Methanotrichales; Methanotrichaceae.